CUUACACAUGCAGUCGAACGCGAACGUCUUCUUCGGAAGGCUAGUAGAGUGGCGCACGGGUGAGUAACGCGUAGAUAACCUACCCUUAUGUCUGGGAUAACCCACCGAAAGGUGGACUAAUACCGGAUAUGCUUGUUUUUCAUAAGUUUUACAAGCAAAGGUGGCCUCUGAUUUAAGCUACUGCAUGAGGAGGGGUCUGCGUACCAUUAGCUUGUUGGUGGGGUAAUGGCCUACCAAGGCUUCGAUGGUUAGCGGGUCUGAGAGGAUGAUCCGUCACACUGGCACUGAAACACGGGCCAGACUCCUACGGGAGGCAGCAGGGAGGAAUAUUGCGCAAUGGGGGAAACCCUGACGCAGCGACGCCGCGUGAGUGAGGAAGGCUUUCGGGUCGUAAAGCUCUGUCAAGAGGGAAGAAGUGCAUAUUGGUUAAUAUCCAUUAUGUUUGACGGUACCUCUAAAGGAAGCACCGGCUAACUCCGUGCCAGCAGCCGCGGUAAUACGGAGGGUGCAAGCGUUGUUCGGAAUUACUGGGCGUAAAGGGCGCGCAGGCGGUUUGAUUAGUCAGAUGUGAAAGCCCACGGCUCAACCGUGGAAGUGCAUUUGAAACUGUCAGACUUGAGUAUCAGAGGGGAAAGUGGAAUUCCUGGUGUAGAGGUGAAAUUCGUAGAUAUCAGGAGGAAUACCGGUGGCGAAGGCGACUUUCUGGCUGAAUACUGACGCUGAGGCGCGAAAGCGUGGGGAGCAAACAGGAUUAGAUACCCUGGUAGUCCACGCCGUAAACGAUGUCAACUAGAUGUAGGGGGGUGUUGAUCCCCUCUGUGUCGCAGCUAACGCAUUAAGUUGACCGCCUGGGGAGUACGGUCGCAAGAUUAAAACUCAAGAAAUUGACGGGGGCCCGCACAAGCGGUGGAGUAUGUGGUUUAAUUCGAUGCAACGCGAAGAAUCUUACCUGGUCUUGACAUCCCGGGAAUCUUUCUGGAAACAGAAGAGUGCCUUCAUUAGAAGGAGCCUGGUGACAGGUGCUGCAUGCUGUCGUCAGCUCAUGUCGUGAAAUGUUUGGGUUAAGUCCCCCAACGAGCGGCACACCCUUUGCCUUUAAUUUGUCGGGCAGGUC
RNAcentral lists this ribosomal RNA (1114 nucleotides) under Desulfobulbaceae bacterium enrichment culture clone MS_ACE_N4. Its description in RNAcentral is "bacterial SSU rRNA". It matches the Rfam family "Bacterial small subunit ribosomal RNA", at positions 48 to 1131 of the family's 1533-position model. Lineage: Bacteria; Pseudomonadati; Thermodesulfobacteriota; Desulfobulbia; Desulfobulbales; Desulfobulbaceae. The record is from RNAcentral.